CCUACGGGGGGCUGCAGUUAGGAAAUUUUGCCAAUGGGGGAAACCCUGAGCGAGUAACGCCGCGUGGAGGAUGACGGCCUUCGGGUUGUAAACUCCUUUUCUGUGGGACGAUGAUGACGGUACCACAGGAAUAAGCCCCGGCUAACUACGUGCCAGCAGCCGCGGUAAUACGUAGGGGGCGAGCGUUGUCCGGAAUUACUGGGCGUAAAGAGCGCGUAGGCGGCUCGAUAAGUUCCGUGUGAAAGCUCCCGGCUCAACUGGGAAGCGUCGUGGAAAACUGUCGAGCUGGAGUGUCGGAGAGGGAAGUGGAAGUCCCGGAGUAGGGGUGAAAUCCGUAGAGACCGGGCCGAACACCAGUGGCGAAGGCGACUUCCUGGCCGACGACUGACGCUGAGGCGCGAAAGCGUGGGGAGCGAACGGGAUUAGAUACCCCGGUAGUC
This 440-nucleotide ribosomal RNA is filed under the name uncultured bacterium. Its description in RNAcentral is "bacterial SSU rRNA". It matches the Rfam family "Bacterial small subunit ribosomal RNA", at positions 338 to 795 of the family's 1533-position model. The record is from RNAcentral.